UUAAUGAGUAAAAUAUAUGAAUAGGACAAACAAGGCCUAGAAAGGAUCCUUUAAAAUGCAUUUAUUUUAUAUUGCUUGUUUUUUGUUUUUUAAUACCACAGGGCUGGAAUCAAUUGAAAAUACAGUCUUGACUUCCUCAGUGCACAAGCCACUGGAAAUCUAUAAUAACCUCUGGGGAAAGAAAAUGGAAAUUUGCAGGUUCAACAACUAAUAAUUUUUUUUUAGAAAGUACCUGAAGGUUGAUGCCUUGCAAAGCUGAUUCUGGAAGUGGUGUUUUGGAAACAAAGAAGAAAGGAAUAUGAGAGAAAGAGUUAGGUUUAAUGGCAUACUGCGGUAAGAAAGAUGAGAAACAUUCAGUGUACCAGUGAGCCAGCUAGCAGGGAGAGAAGAAUUGUUUUAGUAGUACUCGAAGGAUGAAACUAGAGCACUGAUGAGCUUAAGGAUUUGAUGUAGAAGAAAAGGAGAAAAAGAAAUGAUGAUUUUUGCCUUGGAGAUAAGAUUGACAGAGAAAGCAGCCUGAAGGAAGAUGAGUUAAACUGAGUGUGAUUUUAAGAAUUGUUUCUGGAGAGAGGGGAGCAGAACUCAAAAGAAGAUGAGGAUGUACAUCUUAUAUCCGACUGUCAUACAAUACAGUAAGAACAACUUAAACAAAACUAUAAGCCCUGAUUCUCAUCACGGCAUAGAAAGGAUGAAUAACUGUUACAUAUUAGGGAAGAUAUAAAGAACUGCCACAUGGGCAGCAGAGGAAGCCACUGUUGAGACUAGGACAGCAGAACAAACAAUUGAGAAAAAAUAUAGAAAUGGACAAAGUAGUCUAAGAAACAAAAUUUGGUCCUUCCUUAAUCUGCUGACAUGUUGCAUUUGAUCUAUUUAGUUAUUAGUAUCACAGUAAGAAAUCUAUGUGAGAGUACUUGCAAAAAAAAAAAAUCCAGACUAUUCACUAUAACAAACUCUUAUUUGUAGAACAACUUCUAGAUUUUGUAGCCCUUAAGACAAUGUGAAUUCAAAUGUUGAGUUUGAAGCAACUCUGCCGCAGCACCAACUUGAAAGUUAGCAGUAAGCCAGAUCUGAAGACUUUUCUGUGAAAUUAAUUUAAUUGUGACCUAAACUGCUUGGAAAACUCACUUCAGGUGAAUAGAGGUGAGGCAGUGUACAACUUGUGAACACUGAAUAUUUUUCUGUAAGUCUGUUUGAAUUUCUAGCGCAUUUUU
Molecule: long non-coding RNA, 1211 nt
Filed under: Numida meleagris (helmeted guineafowl)
Lineage: Eukaryota; Metazoa; Chordata; Aves; Galliformes; Numididae
Description: lncRNA (ENSNMEG00000004515.1)
Source: RNAcentral